ACUCAAAGGAAUUGACGGGGGCCCGCACAAGCAGUGGAGCAUGUGGUUCAAUUCGAUGCAACGCGAAGAACCUUACCUGGGUUUGAAAAGCUAGUGACAAGGGAUGAAAGUCCCUCUGGUAGCAAUACCCACUAGUACAGGUGCUGCAUGGCUGUCGUCAGCUCGUGCCGUGAGGUGUUAGGUUAAGUCCUGCAACGAGCGCAACCCCUGCACUUAGUUGCCAGCAGGUAAAGCUGGGCACUCUAAGUGGACUGCCUACGCAAGUAGCGAGGAAGGUGGGGAUGACGUCAAGUCCUCAUGGCCCUUACACCCAGGGCCACACACGUGCUACAAUGGUCGGUACAAAGGGCUGCUAAACCGCAAGGUGGAGCCAAUCCCAAAAAACCGAUCUCAGUUCGGAUUGGGGUCUGCAACUCGACCCCAUGAAGCUGGAAUUGCUAGUAAUCGCGUAUCAGCACGACGCGGUGAAUACGUUCCCGGGCCUUGUACACACCGCCCGU
This 500-nucleotide ribosomal RNA is filed under the name uncultured bacterium. Its description in RNAcentral is "partial 16S ribosomal RNA". It matches the Rfam family "Bacterial small subunit ribosomal RNA", at positions 899 to 1397 of the family's 1533-position model. The record is from RNAcentral.